Molecule: ribosomal RNA, 2902 nt
Filed under: Escherichia coli
Lineage: Bacteria; Pseudomonadati; Pseudomonadota; Gammaproteobacteria; Enterobacterales; Enterobacteriaceae
Description: bacterial LSU rRNA
Rfam family: Bacterial large subunit ribosomal RNA
Source: RNAcentral
UUAAGCGACUAAGCGUACACGGUGGAUGCCCUGGCAGUCAGAGGCGAUGAAGGACGUGCUAAUCUGCGAUAAGCGUCGGUAAGGUGAUAUGAACCGUUAUAACCGGCGAUUUCCGAAUGGGGAAACCCAGUGUGUUUCGACACACUAUCAUUAACUGAAUCCAUAGGUUAAUGAGGCGAACCGGGGGAACUGAAACAUCUAAGUACCCCGAGGAAAAGAAAUCAACCGAGAUUCCCCCAGUAGCGGCGAGCGAACGGGGAGCAGCCCAGAGCCUGAAUCAGUGUGUGUGUUAGUGGAAGCGUCUGGAAAGGCGCGCGAUACAGGGUGACAGCCCCGUACACAAAAAUGCACAUAUUGUGAGCUCGAUGAGUAGGGCGGGACACGUGGUAUCCUGUCUGAAUAUGGGGGGACCAUCCUCCAAGGCUAAAUACUCCUGACUGACCGAUAGUGAACCAGUACCGUGAGGGAAAGGCGAAAAGAACCCCGGCGAGGGGAGUGAAAAAGAACCUGAAACCGUGUACGUACAAGCAGUGGGAGCACGCUUAGGCGUGUGACUGCGUACCUUUUGUAUAAUGGGUCAGCGACUUAUAUUCUGUAGCAAGGUUAACCGAAUAGGGGAGCCGAAGGGAAACCGAGUCUUAACUGGGCGUUAAGUUGCAGGGUAUAGACCCGAAACCCGGUGAUCUAGCCAUGGGCAGGUUGAAGGUUGGGUAACACUAACUGGAGGACCGAACCGACUAAUGUUGAAAAAUUAGCGGAUGACUUGUGGCUGGGGGUGAAAGGCCAAUCAAACCGGGAGAUAGCUGGUUCUCCCCGAAAGCUAUUUAGGUAGCGCCUCGUGAAUUCAUCUCCGGGGGUAGAGCACUGUUUCGGCAAGGGGGUCAUCCCGACUUACCAACCCGAUGCAAACUGCGAAUACCGGAGAAUGUUAUCACGGGAGACACACGGCGGGUGCUAACGUCCGUCGUGAAGAGGGAAACAACCCAGACCGCCAGCUAAGGUCCCAAAGUCAUGGUUAAGUGGGAAACGAUGUGGGAAGGCCCAGACAGCCAGGAUGUUGGCUUAGAAGCAGCCAUCAUUUAAAGAAAGCGUAAUAGCUCACUGGUCGAGUCGGCCUGCGCGGAAGAUGUAACGGGGCUAAACCAUGCACCGAAGCUGCGGCAGCGACGCUGAUGCGUUGUUGGGUAGGGGAGCGUUCUGUAAGCCUGUGAAGGUGUGCUGUGAGGCAUGCUGGAGGUAUCAGAAGUGCGAAUGCUGACAUAAGUAACGAUAAAGCGGGUGAAAAGCCCGCUCGCCGGAAGACCAAGGGUUCCUGUCCAACGUUAAUCGGGGCAGGGUGAGUCGACCCCUAAGGCGAGGCCGAAAGGCGUAGUCGAUGGGAAACAGGUUAAUAUUCCUGUACUUGGUGUUACUGCGAAGGGGGGACGGAGAAGGCUAUGUUGGCCGGGCGACGGUUGUCCCGGUUUAAGCGUGUAGGCUGGUUUUCCAGGCAAAUCCGGAAAAUCAAGGCUGAGGCGUGAUGACGAGGCACUACGGUGCUGAAGCAACAAAUGCCCUGCUUCCAGGAAAAGCCUCUAAGCAUCAGGUAACAUCAAAUCGUACCCCAAACCGACACAGGUGGUCAGGUAGAGAAUACCAAGGCGCUUGAGAGAACUCGGGUGAAGGAACUAGGCAAAAUGGUGCCGUAACUUCGGGAGAAGGCACGCUGAUAUGUAGGUGAAGCGACUUGCUCGUGGAGCUGAAAUCAGUCGAAGAUACCAGCUGGCUGCAACUGUUUAUUAAAAACACAGCACUGUGCAAACACGAAAGUGGACGUAUACGGUGUGACGCCUGCCCGGUGCCGGAAGGUUAAUUGAUGGGGUUAGCGCAAGCGAAGCUCUUGAUCGAAGCCCCGGUAAACGGCGGCCGUAACUAUAACGGUCCUAAGGUAGCGAAAUUCCUUGUCGGGUAAGUUCCGACCUGCACGAAUGGCGUAAUGAUGGCCAGGCUGUCUCCACCCGAGACUCAGUGAAAUUGAACUCGCUGUGAAGAUGCAGUGUACCCGCGGCAAGACGGAAAGACCCCGUGAACCUUUACUAUAGCUUGACACUGAACAUUGAGCCUUGAUGUGUAGGAUAGGUGGGAGGCUUAGAAGUGUGGACGCCAGUCUGCAUGGAGCCGACCUUGAAAUACCACCCUUUAAUGUUUGAUGUUCUAACGUUGACCCGUAAUCCGGGGUGCGGACAGUGUCUGGUGGGUAGUUUGACUGGGGCGGUCUCCUCCUAAAGAGUAACGGAGGAGCACGAAGGUUGGCUAAUCCUGGUCGGACAUCAGGAGGUUAGUGCAAUGGCAUAAGCCAGCUUGACUGCGAGCGUGACGGCGCGAGCAGGUGCGAAAGCAGGUCAUAGUGAUCCGGUGGUUCUGAAUGGAAGGGCCAUCGCUCAACGGAUAAAAGGUACUCCGGGGAUAACAGGCUGAUACCGCCCAAGAGUUCAUAUCGACGGCGGUGUUUGGCACCUCGAUGUCGGCUCAUCACAUCCUGGGGCUGAAGUAGGUCCCAAGGGUAUGGCUGUUCGCCAUUUAAAGUGGUACGCGAGCUGGGUUUAGAACGUCGUGAGACAGUUCGGUCCCUAUCUGCCGUGGGCGCUGGAGAACUGAGGGGGGCUGCUCCUAGUACGAGAGGACCGGAGUGGACGCAUCACUGGUGUUCGGGUUGUCAUGCCAAUGGCACUGCCCGGUAGCUAAAUGCGGAAGAGAUAAGUGCUGAAAGCAUCUAAGCACGAAACUUGCCCCGAGAUGAGUUCUCCCUGACUCCUUGAGAGUCCUGAAGGAACGUUGAAGACGACGACGUUGAUAGGCCGGGUGUGUAAGCGCAGCGAUGCGUUGAGCUAACCGGUACUAAUGAACCGUGAGGCUUAACCUU